This 464-nucleotide ribosomal RNA is filed under the name uncultured bacterium. RNAcentral describes it as "bacterial SSU rRNA". It matches the Rfam family "Bacterial small subunit ribosomal RNA", at positions 917 to 1382 of the family's 1533-position model. The record is from RNAcentral.
GGGCCCGCACAAGCGGUGGAGCAUGUGGUUCAAUUCGACGCAACGCGAAGAACCUUACCCAGGCUUGAACAGCGAGGGACCAACCCCGAAAGGGGUCUUCCGCAAGGACUCUCGUAGAGGUGCUGCAUGGCUGUCGUCAGCUCGUGUCGUGAGAUGUUGGGUUAAGUCCCGCAACGAGCGCAACCCUUGUUUGCUGUUGCCAUCACGUUAUGGUGGGCACUCUGCAAAGACUGCCGGUGAUAAACCGGAGGAAGGUGGGGAUGACGUCAAGUCAGCAUGGCCUUUAUGUCUGGGGCUACACACGUGCUACAAUGGCCGGUACAAACCGUCGCAAAACCGUAAGGUCGAGCUAAUCGGACAAAGCCGGUCUCAGUUCGGAUUGUAGGCUGCAACUCGCCUGCAUGAAGUUGGAAUCGCUAGUAAUCGCGGAUCAGCACGCCGCGGUGAAUACGUUCCCGGGCCUU